UUAACUAUUAUAUAGUACUCAGACGACACUAAUAUUCAGGGUUUUGGGUCCUCUGGCGGGCGCUUACCAGCCGGGGCCGGUAGUCGGGCCGGAGCCUAACGGCCCGCCAAAGCAACAAAGUAAUAAUAACAUAGGGUGGGAGAUCUACCCGGUAGGGCAUGAACUCUGUAAUGAUCCCUCCGCAGGUUCACCUACGGAGA
Molecule: unclassified non-coding RNA, 200 nt
Filed under: uncultured fungus
Lineage: Eukaryota; Fungi
Description: sequence contains ITS1
Source: RNAcentral